CCGAGUUUACAACUCCCAAACCCCUGUGAACAUACCUAUCGUUGCUUCGGCGGAUCGCCCCGGCGCCCUCGGGCCCGGAUCCAGGCGCCCGCCGGAGGACCCAAACUCUUGUAUUCUUGAGAAUUUCUGAGUAAACAAGCAAAUAAAUCA
RNAcentral lists this unclassified non-coding RNA (150 nucleotides) under uncultured Sordariomycetes. RNAcentral's name for it is "sequence contains ITS1". The record is from RNAcentral. Lineage: Eukaryota; Fungi; Ascomycota; Sordariomycetes.